RNAcentral lists this ribosomal RNA (269 nucleotides) under uncultured bacterium. RNAcentral describes it as "partial 16S ribosomal RNA". It matches the Rfam family "Bacterial small subunit ribosomal RNA", at positions 84 to 354 of the family's 1533-position model. The record is from RNAcentral.
UUUGAUGGCGACCGGCGCACGGGUGAGUAACACGUAUCCAACCUGCCGAUAACUCGGGGAUAGCCUUUCGAAAGAAAGAUUAAUAUCCGAUAGGAUAUCAAGGUCGCAUGAUCUUGAUAUUAAAGAAUUUCGGUUAUCGAUGGGGAUGCGUUCCAUUAGUUAGUUGGCGGGGUAACGGCCCACCAAGACGACGAUGGAUAGGGGUUCUGAGAGGAAGGUCCCCCACAUUGGAACUGAGACACGGUCCAAACUCCUACGGAAGGCAGCAG